Molecule: long non-coding RNA, 832 nt
Filed under: Phasianus colchicus (ring-necked pheasant)
Lineage: Eukaryota; Metazoa; Chordata; Aves; Galliformes; Phasianidae
Description: lncRNA (ENSPCLG00000006220.1)
Source: RNAcentral
AUGGCGGAGGGCGGCGGAGGCGUGCCCCCCCCCUCCUGCUCUUCCUCCUCUUCCUCCUCCUCCUUGAAGGGGCUGCGGGAGCAGAUGGUUGCUGCAGCCCAAGCCAUAGCAGAUGAAAGAAGAAGCCAAAGUGGUGUCAGCCCUAUUGCAGUCCAGACCUCAAUUAACAUAAAGACAGCAACUAAACCAGUGAUAGAUGGUUCCACUCUAAGAACAGAAGAAAGGCAAAGACUGGCCAGGGAGCGCAGAGAGGAGCGGGAAAAGCAAAAUGUCACUUAUUUUUCAGCUUGCUGGGGACAAACAACAUCUGCCCAUGGUAUUGUUUCAUUGACCAUCGGUGAACCCGAAAGGAGAAGUAUUAGAGUUGAGAGGAAAAUAUUCCAGAGAUUUGUGGCUUCUUGAAGCUGUAUGUCAUUUCUGACAUUCAGUUUUCUGGAGGCCACCAGGCAAAAUUAGCUGCCUUCGUAUUCACGGUGUCAACAAAAACACUUCUGAAACAAUAACCUUUAGCUUAGAACCACUACCUGAAAACUGAGGUUUGGGAAACACUGAUUCAGAGAAAACCAAAAAGAAUAUAGCUAGUUGAAUGGCUUGAUUGCCUUGAACACUGCUUUUCUUGUUUCCUAGCACACUGAAAAGAUUCCUGGAUUGAAGUGACAGCAGUAUCUGCUUUAUCUCAGCUAAGAAACUGAGACUUAAAGUGUAAAACUUUCACCCAGCUUUAUGUUGCUUUUGGUGUGAAUCUCAGUUUAUAUACAUGCAGCAAGAGAUAAAAGGUUCCCUGUAUGGCCUGCAGUCCUUACUCUCAGUCUCCCAGCUGCUGCUUAACGUA